Molecule: ribosomal RNA, 445 nt
Filed under: uncultured bacterium
Lineage: Bacteria
Description: partial 16S ribosomal RNA
Rfam family: Bacterial small subunit ribosomal RNA
Source: RNAcentral
GUGAGGAAUAUUGGACAAUGGGCGCAAGCCUGAUCCAGCCAUGCCGCGUGCAGGAAGACGCAUCUAUGGUGUGUAAACUGCUUUUGUACGGGAAGAAACACUCCCUCGUGAGGGAGCUUGACGGUACCGUAAGAAUAAGGAUCGGCUAACUCCGUGCCAGCAGCCGCGGUAAUACGGAGGAUCCAAGCGUUAUCCGGAAUCAUUGGGUUUAAAGGGUCCGUAGGCGGUUUAAUACGUCAGUGGUGAAAGCCCAUCGCUCAACGAUGGAACGGCCAUUGAUACUGUUAGACUUGAAUUACAAGGAAGUAACUAGAAUAUGUAGUGUAGCGGUGAAAUGCUUAGAUAUUACAUGGAAUACCAAUUGCGAAGGCAGGUUACUACUUGUGGAUUGACGCUGAUGGACGAAAGCGUGGGGAGCGAACAGGAUUAGAAACCCCUGUAGUCC